Molecule: ribosomal RNA, 292 nt
Filed under: uncultured bacterium
Lineage: Bacteria
Description: partial 16S ribosomal RNA
Rfam family: Bacterial small subunit ribosomal RNA
Source: RNAcentral
GUGUCAGCAGCCGCGGUAAUACGGAGGGGGCGAGCGUUAUUCGGAAUUAUUGGGCGUAAAGGGCGCGUAGGCGGCCAGUCAAGUCAAAGGUGAAAUCCCUCGGCUCAACCGAGGAAUGGCCUUUGAAACUGCCUGGCUAGAGGCCGGGAGGGGGUAGCGGAAUUCCCAGUGUAGCGGUGAAAUGCGUAGAUACUGGGAGGAACACCAGUGGCGAAGGCGGCUACCUGGACCGGUUCUGACGCUGAUGCGCGAAAGCGUGGGGAGCAAACAGGAUUAGAAACCCUUGUAGUCC